This 87-nucleotide transfer RNA is filed under the name Candidatus Purcelliella pentastirinorum. It matches the Rfam family "tRNA". Rfam says of the family: Transfer RNA (tRNA) molecules are approximately 80 nucleotides in length. Their secondary structure includes four short double-helical elements and three loops (D, anti-codon, and T loops). Further hydrogen bonds mediate the characteristic L-shaped molecular structure. tRNAs have two regions of fundamental functional importance: the anti-codon, which is responsible for specific mRNA codon recognition, and the 3' end, to which the tRNAs corresponding amino acid is attached (by aminoacyl-tRNA synthetases). tRNAs cope with the degeneracy of the genetic code in two manners: having more than one tRNA (with a specific anti-codon) for a particular amino acid; and 'wobble' base-pairing, i.e. permitting non-standard base-pairing at the 3rd anti-codon position. The record is from Rfam by way of RNAcentral. Lineage: Bacteria; Pseudomonadati; Pseudomonadota; Gammaproteobacteria; Enterobacterales; Enterobacteriaceae.
GGAGGAAUGGUCGAGUGGUUUAUGGCAGCGGUCUUGAAAACCGCAGACGAUUAAAAUCGUUCGAGAGUUCGAAUCUCUCUUCCUCCG